RNAcentral lists this ribosomal RNA (438 nucleotides) under uncultured bacterium. Its description in RNAcentral is "partial 16S ribosomal RNA". It matches the Rfam family "Bacterial small subunit ribosomal RNA", at positions 339 to 795 of the family's 1533-position model. The record is from RNAcentral.
CUACGGGGGGCUGCAGUGGGGAAUAUUGCACAAUGGAGGAAACUCUGAUGCAGCAACGCCGCGUGGAGGAUGACACUUUUCGGAGCGUAAACUCCUUUUAUAUAGGAAGAAGAUGUCGGUACUAUAUGAAUAAGCGCCGGCAACUCCGUGCCAGCAGCCGCGGUAAUACGGAGGGCGCAAGCGUUACUCGGAAUCACUGGGCGUAAAGAGCGUGUAGGCGGAUUAAAAAGUCAGAAGUGAAAUCCUAUAGCUUAACUAUAGAACUGCUUCUGAAACUCUUAAUCUAGAAUAUGGGAGAGGUAGAUGGAAUUUCUGGUGUAGGGGUAAAAUCCGUAGAGAUCAGAAGGAAUACCGAUUGCGAAGGCGAUCUACUAGAACAUUAUUGACGCUGAGACGCGAAAGCGUGGGGAGCAAACAGGAUUAGAUACCCGUGUAGUC